CAUUUUUUAAAAACAUAAAGGAUACAGAUUUUCAUCACCUUGUGAAUUGAGUUUCCUUUUUUUUAUGCUUGAUGUUACUACAUUUAAGCGCCUCGAGCUUCUCUUCAUCACUGUUUCAUUUUGAAAUGCUUGGGAGGUCCUUGUGAAUGCAGGUGUAGCAAAUGUAAUGAGUUCUUUUUCCUCUCAUUUCCCAAGGAUUUCUGCAUGCUGCUCCCUCCCUUUCUCAAGUCUUAUUUUACCUGGUGUCUUUCUUCUGUUUCUUCAGUAUUUCCCAUAAAAAGCUCACAGGAUUUACUGCGGGUGUUCAGCUAGUGGUGGCACUUGGUCUUCCCAGUGCAAUGUUUAUAGUCACUAGACAGUACUGCAAGCAACUCACAGCUGGCAGCCCCACUGAAGCCCAGCAGGUAUGAGCCUGGUCAGUACCUGGAUGGGAGACCUCCUGGGAAAAACUAAGGCUCCUGCUGGAAGAGGUGUUAGUGGGGCCAGUAGGGGGCGCUCACCCCACUUUCUGUGUGGGUCCUAAUGCCCCAGUAUAGUGACGGGGACACUAUACUUUAAAAAGGAAUCGUCCUUCGGAUGAGUUGUCAAACAGAGAUCCUGACUCUUCGUAGUCACUAAAAAUCCCAGGGCGGCUCUCAAAAAGAGUAGGAGUGUUAUCUUGGUGUUCUGGCUAAAUUUCCCCCGGUCUUUACCAAUCAGCUAUGUUUACCUCUCGAAACAAAAAAAACAAACUGCAGAAUUAUACCCCAUUAAUAGAAAUUCAAAAUGGCAAGAGAGACCUGUUAGGUUUCCUUCUUAGUCAGGAGAUUGCUUUAAGUAAAGGGUUAAUGGUUAAAUUUGAACUAGAUGCUAUUCCUGUUUCCUUGAUGAGAUCUGUUCCAGUCAUAUACACCACUGUAGUCUUGAAUAAAUUAUCUUUAUUAGUCAUUAUUUUACUAGAGCUGUUCGCAGUGUGAGACGCGCUGUAUCUCUUUGGGUACUGGUUUAUGCUCAGACCUGCAGUUUGAAAAUCAGGAGUUGCCGCCCAUGAUGAACACAAGGUUUUUUGACAAAGGUGUCAAGGUGAGCCCAGGCAGCUGGUGAUGGCCCCAGUGCGCAUAUAAGCUCAU
Molecule: long non-coding RNA, 1109 nt
Filed under: Lepisosteus oculatus (spotted gar)
Lineage: Eukaryota; Metazoa; Chordata; Actinopteri; Semionotiformes; Lepisosteidae
Description: lncRNA (ENSLOCG00000022220.1)
Source: RNAcentral